AGGACGAACGCUGGCGGCGUGCCUAACACAUGCAAGUCGAACGAGGUCCAUCCGGUAGCAAUACUGGUGAAGAUCAAGUGGCGAACGGGUGAGUAGCACGUGAGCAACCUGCCCCGAAGACCGGGACAACACCGGGAAACCGGUGCUAAUACCGGAUAUCCCCACCGAGUCGCAUGACUUGGUGAGGAAAUGGAUUCCGCUUUGGGAGGGGCUCGCGGCCUAUCAGCUUGUUGGUGAGGUAACGGCUCACCAAGGCGACGACGGGUA
RNAcentral lists this ribosomal RNA (267 nucleotides) under uncultured bacterium. RNAcentral's name for it is "partial small subunit ribosomal RNA". It matches the Rfam family "Bacterial small subunit ribosomal RNA", at positions 26 to 285 of the family's 1533-position model. The record is from RNAcentral.